This 432-nucleotide ribosomal RNA is filed under the name uncultured bacterium. RNAcentral describes it as "partial 16S ribosomal RNA". It matches the Rfam family "Bacterial small subunit ribosomal RNA", at positions 29 to 506 of the family's 1533-position model. The record is from RNAcentral.
AACGAACGCUGGCGGCAUGCCUAACACAUGCAAGUCGAACGAGACCUUCGGGUCUAGUGGCGCACGGGUGCGUAACGCGUGGGAACCUGCCCUUAGGUUCGGAAUAACUCAGAGAAAUUUGAGCUAAUACCGGAUAAUGUCUUCGGACCAAAGAUUUAUCGCCUUUGGAUGGGCCCGCGUAGGAUUAGCUUGUUGGUGGGGUAAUGGCCUACCAAGGCGACGAUCCUUAGCUGGUCUGAGAGGAUGAUCAGCCACACUGGGACUGAGACACGGCCCAGACUCCUACGGGAGGCAGCAGUGGGGAAUAUUGGACAAUGGGCGAAAGCCUGAUCCAGCAAUGCCGCGUGAGGGAUGAAGGCCUUAGGGUUGUAAAGCUCUUUUACCAGGGAUGAUAAUGACAGUACCUGGAGAAUAAGCUCCGGCUAACCCCGU